This 253-nucleotide ribosomal RNA is filed under the name uncultured bacterium. Its description in RNAcentral is "partial 16S ribosomal RNA". It matches the Rfam family "Bacterial small subunit ribosomal RNA", at positions 524 to 776 of the family's 1533-position model. The record is from RNAcentral.
UACGAAGGGAGCUAGCGUUGUUCGGAAUCACUGGGCGUAAAGCGCACGUAGGCGGAUGUGUCAGUCAGGGGUGAAAUCCCGGAGCUCAACUUCGGAACUGCCCUUGAUACAGCACAUCUGGAGUCCGGAAGAGGUGGGUGGAAUUCCUAGUGUAGAGGUGAAAUUCGUAGAUAUUAGGAAGAACACCGGUGGCGAAGGCGGCGCUCUGGACCGAGACUGACGCUGAGGCGCGAAAGCGUGGGGAGCAAACAGG